This 479-nucleotide ribosomal RNA is filed under the name uncultured bacterium. RNAcentral describes it as "bacterial SSU rRNA". It matches the Rfam family "Bacterial small subunit ribosomal RNA", at positions 28 to 507 of the family's 1533-position model. The record is from RNAcentral.
GAUGAACGCUGGCGGCGUGCUUAACACAUGCAAGUCGAACGAAGCAGUUUGUUUGGAUCCCUUCGGGGUGACGAACUUAUUGACUGAGUGGCGGACGGGUGAGUAACGCGUGGGUAACCUGCCUUACACAGGGGGAUAACAGUUAGAAAUGACUGCUAAUACCGCAUAACCCGCUAGUACCGCAUGGUACGGACGGAAAAGAUUUAUCGGUGUAAGAUGGACCCGCGUCUGAUUAGCUGGUUGGUGAGGUAACGGCUCACCAAGGCGACGAUCAGUAGCCGGCUUGAGAGAGUGAACGGCCACAUUGGGACUGAGACACGGCCCAAACUCCUACGGGAGGCAGCAGUGGGAAUAUUGCACAAUGGGGGAAACCCUGAUGCAGCGACGCCGCGUGAGUGAAGAAGUAUUUCGGUAUGUAAAGCUCUAUCAGCAGGGAAGAAAUGACGGUACCUGACUAAGAAGCCCCGGCUAACUACGUG